ACGUAGGGAAUCAGUAACUUUUAAUAUUUGAUCUUCAGCACUUAAAAUAGGUUUUCCUUACUGCGUUUUGUCAUUGCUGAUUUAGAUAAAUCUUUACCUAUUUCUGCCUCUCAGACCUUGAGUGGGGGUUAAUGUGACCACGAUGGCAGUGGUAAUGAUAACAGCUCAUAUUUUCCAAGGCUGUGCUCUGCUCAAAAGUACUCUUACUGCUUCACAUUUAUUAGUCAUACAAUCCUCAUAAUACCUCUGAAAGGUAGGUUUUGUUAUCAGAAAUCUAUAGAUGAGGAAACAGGCACAGAGAGGUUAAGAAACCUGCCUGAGGGUAUGUAGCUAGGGAUGGAAAGAGCCAGGAUUUGAACCUCUGUCUUUUUAGCACUCGGUGGCUCUUAGUCACUGUGCCGUACUGUUAUUUCAAGUAAGAGUGUGGCCAGAGUGUAAAGACUGGAUUUUGAAUAUAGUUGGGGAAACAAACAGCAAAAUUAGGUUCACACUGCAUCCACAUGUCUUGUAAAUAGGAGUCUGACAUUUCGGUGUACAGAGACGUGUUGUUUAGGCAUCCAGGUGCCUGUUUGCUGUUUGUCCCUGCUCAUAGCCUCUCCACUCGGAAAUUGCAUUAUUUGCAGCGCUCUUCACUGUCAGCUCUGUUAGUGACUUAGCUUUCCACAUUGCCGCUAUUCAGAACCCUUGGCUUGAGACCGCCGAAGCUUACGCUCACCUCUCCUCAGCCUUCCUGUAACUGUGAAUCUUUGUUUUCUGUUUUGAACAGUCAGCCUUUCAGUCCUCGAUGGAGGUGCUCUUUACCCGCCCCCCCCAAACUCAGAAACCCUCUGUGGCAUUUUAUAACAACGGUCAAAAAAUUCGACCCUCUUCAUUGGCAUAACUGGAUCUUAGUGCACAAGUAACAAGAACCAAAGCACGGUAUUUUGGUUAAAUAGAUUGAUUUAUACUGAAAUUGGAAAAGGCAUCUGCUAUACAGGAUUUUGGAUUUAAUAGAAUUUGUUAUAACCAGAUCAGCAAAGUAUUAUUACUGUGGGCCAUCUGCUGGGAUAUGGAAAUAGCUUUGUUAUAUGGAACCAGAUGUAUUUAUAUUUAUAACACUGGCAUUCUACUUAUUUUAAGUAACCUUUCGUAGUUAGGUACCUUUGGCUGCUAUGACCUUUACUGGAUGUAUCAGCUGAUAAUCCGAAAAUGCAGUGUCUUUCAAAGUGGUUAUUACUUUUCUAUGCAAUUGAGAUAACACAACUGAAAUGGAGAGCAGAUGAGACUCAUGGUGUCAAACUUUAGUACUGUAACAAGAUAAACUGUAUGAAUAUGAUACAAGAUAAUUAGGAUCAUAUGCAAUAAGAAUUCUUACUUUUAAGCUUAGUUUCUAAUAAGUACUAAACCACUCUGAUGGCUUUAAGAAUUUUACUCUCUAAAUCUAAAGCAGUUUCACUUUGGUAUAAUCAGGUCUACAGUAACACUGCCUUGUCUGACUUAUUUCCCGUCAUCGGGGUAAAGUUGUCUGGAAAGGGAUAUAAUAAGAGGAACUAUCAUUAGAAAGUAGUCCUGGAGGACUGUCCUGAGUUGAAUGUUAACAGUUUGGAGAGGGGGAAGUCCUAGGAUGGGAGUUUUAGAGAGAGUGUAGGAACCUGGCUUGUGGGCUGUCUUUGUUUGGGCUCCCAUAACAAAAUACCACAGACUGGGGUCCAUCUGGAGCCUCUUUGAUAAGAGGCUAAUCCCAUUCGUGAAGGCCUGGCCUCAUCUCCUAACAACAUCUGUGAGGAGGGGGUUGGGGUUUCAACGUAGGAAUAUUGGGGGACGUAAACAUUUAAACUGUAGCAUUGUCUAUUUUUUCAUUAUUUUCAAAUAAGUGUAGAGGAAGUCAUGGAUUCCAUGGAAGAGUUGAAUGAUUAUUCUAGGAUGACCCUGUGUCUGAAGGAGACCUUACCCGGUAAACUGAUUGUAGGUAAAAUUUUCACCUAGAGUACAAAGCUAAAAUCUGUAAAUGCAGUUUACCUAGACGGAGUCCUGUCCGGUGGUACAGUGGUGUCACUGCGAUUGGUCUUCUGAAUGAUUGGUGAAGUGUGGUGCCAGUGUGACCUUAUUGAAGAUUUUGGAGGUUGGGAAUUCCUGUUGUGGCACAGCAAGUUAAGGAUAUGGUGUUGCCACAGCUGUGGCGUGGGUUACAGCUGUGGCUCAGAUUCCAUUCCUGGCCUGGGAACUUCCAUAUGCUGUGGGUGCAGUCACAAAAGGAAAAAAAAAAAGGUUUUGGGGAUUGGAAUUGGCCUUUUCCUAAGUUAGAGACCUGGUCUUAUUGUGACACACAAAUUUGUGAGAGAAUGGAUGAGGGGAGGGAGACUGCUGGAACUCAUUAAUAAUUUCAAAUUCUGUUUACAUACAGAGAGAUAGGAUUGGGGGGCACAGUACGGGAGAAAUAAGUUAUUAAGAUGCCAGAUUUUGGCGGGUGUGUGCAUGGAUGCCUAUUAAAUUAUUGAAAAGAACUAAAAAGUUUCUGUGGCUUGGCUGUAGAACUUUGGGAAAUUAAUUACAGAUGCAACAGAUAGGCUACAGUCAGGAAUAGGUUGACUCUUCUGAAGGGAGAUGGAGCAGGCUGUCGUGGCAGAAGAUAAAUAGUACAUGGCAUCGGUUUUGGCCAGUGUGGUUGGGUUUGUGAGUCUGUGGCAUGCUUCACCUGUCCGCACUGUACAAGGAGCUGCUGGUGGUGUUGUCUCUCAGGUGUGUAUGUGGGUAGUGAUCACUGUCAGAAAUAACGUCUUUGCACAUCGGGGGAGUCAGGUUUUAUGUCUUCUCACAGGCCUGUGUGUUUUGGAAAGAUUCCCGCUGAACGUGGGAACAGUGGAUGGAGGCCUUUUCUCUGGUCUGUCGCACUGUGGACCCUCACGGAAGUCCUGUCAUGUAGGUAAGGCAGGUGCUGUUGACAAAUGGAGAAUGUGAGAUACAAGCCAAGUCCGACCUGGUGUCUUUCAGUUACCGAGCGGUGGACCCGCACCCGCGACAGGAGCCUGGGCCCUGCGUUCUGCCGAUAGAAGAAAUCUGACAGUUUUUAUGAAGAAGGUGCUUUGGAUUUUUGAGGUAGAAAGUAAAGUUUAAGGACCUCGGAGGACUGGCCCUGGGCUCCUUGGAGCAGAACUUGUCUUGUGAUCGUGUCAGACUGGGGACAUAAAACUAUUGGGAACAAUUUCUUCCACUGUUGAAUUGGGGUUCAUUUCUAGUCAUUGGAUGUACUUUUACUUGAGCCUGCAUUCUUUGUGAAUAGUGGUGGUGAGGAGGAGAUGGAAUCGGAAGGGAAACUUUUAAGGAUUACUAAAUAGUGGAUUUGGUCUUAUUUUAUGGAAGUGUACAUCUGUAAAAUGUAGAGAUGGAGAAAUUGUACCUGGAACAUGAUUCUACCGAGGGUGCUUGGGUUACUGCUGUAGUGUGAAUCUGCUGUCUCUUGCCUAGUGGGUAGGAAGUGUGAUAGUAUAUAAAGAAGUUACACCUCCACAGGAAACCAACAAACAGACUGGAAGACAUCACAUCGGGUGGUCUUUAUUUUCUCUGUCGAACCUGUUUAUAUUCCCCAACUUCUUUAGAGUGAGCAUAUAUCAUUUUUAUAGUCUUCUGUUUUCUAGUUUUUAAACAGUAAAUGUUUAUAUGCUUUUUUUUUUUUUGCUCAAAUGAGAGUUUGGAAAAAUGUGAACCAUAGCACUUUUAAAGAGUAGUUUAAACACUAGGUGAUAUCAAAGUAUUUUGCUUUUUAGGCAGUUACAUUAAUCAGUUUGAUAAACUAUUUUUUAUAAUCUUAUGGGUCAAGUUGUGGGUGUAUCAUGGUUUGUUUUUUGUUUUAUUUCAGACAAAAUGCAAGAUCCUUAACCCACUGCACCACAAGAGAACUCCUGAAUUAAGUGUUUGGGGUUUUUCUUUGCAUUAGAAGUUGGUCAUUUAGCUCUCCUGAUCAGUAAAUUAAUUUUAGUCCCCCUGAGAAGCAACUUGGUUUACAUGUAGUAAUUACUUAUUAAUAAAUGACCGAAAAAUAGCAUUCUGACUUAUAGUGAAAACUAGAUUUACAUAUGGUUAAAACUAGGUUUACAUAUAGUAAUUACUUAUUAAUAAAUGACCAAAAAAUAGCAUUCUGACUUAUAGUGAAAACUAAAUUUAAGGAUCUCCUCAUCUGCUUCUGUUUCCUUGGCAGGGAUCCGAUAAGAAAAAUAAAAUAAGAAAAAUCAAAUUGUUAGUGAUUCUUUAAGGUAGUUGUUUUAAUCCAGGGACAUUGGGCUCAUUAGUUUCUCUCAUUUGUUUGCUCAUUGACUCACUGUCUGUCUUGUCCUGGGCACUUUACUAAAUGCUGGGGACACAAGUAACUGAUAGUGUCCCUGCCAGUAAAGACUAUAGCUUUUGGUUUGGGAGAGCAGUCACAGAGAUGAUAGCCUAGGUAUGUGAAGGUAUCCCUCCCCCCCCCGUUUUCUAGUUUUUAACUAAAAAGGCAGCAUGACUAAUUUGUUUGUAUGAAGAACUUAAUGCUUUUGAUGAUUUUAAGAGGAGCUGAUGACUUCAUACUUAUUUUUCUGACUGCAAAAAUAUUGAAAAUCAUUAACCUAAAGAAUUUGCUUCUCUAAGGAGUAUUGCUUACUGAGGUAGAUGACGUAGGCAUUCGGAUUUAUAUCAGAUUUGCUCUGGGGACAUAAUUAAGAACUCUUGUAUUGACUUUUAGGAUGGAGAUACUGUCUUGUUUUGCCUUGUAUCCUCCGUGCAGUUGACCUCUGAGCAACAAGGGUUUGGACUGCACGCGUCCACUUAUGCAUGGAUAUUUCCGACAGUGACUACUACAGUACAGUAGUGAUUACUGCAGUCCUACAUGGUCCAUGGUUGGUUGAACCAGCCGAUGUGGGGAAACGACAGAUAGGGAGGGCCACCUGUACGUCAUGCUUGAGUUCACCCCCAUCUUUAAGGAUCAGCUGUGCCAGUAAACGAAAGGCUAUUUCAUGUUUAAGCUUACUUUUAAGAACUUUAAUAUCGAUGCAUUAUAUUGUAUGAAAAGUUACCUCUUGUCUAGUACAUAUAUACACACAAAUAUUAAAUAUAUAUAGACUUACGGUUUUUCUUAGAAUCUUAAGAUCUUAUUCAGGCCAGUGAGCUGUCCCACUAAAACAUUUGAUACAGAAUUAUUGGGCUACUCUUAGAGUACCUGUAGUCACCGAUAGCUUUAAUUGAGGCAAAAAUGUGCUUGUAACUUCAUCCCUUUUUCCUAGUCCUUCUCUGUGGAACAUUAGAGAACUAGUUUGUCUUCUUUCACAGGAUAACCCUUUAAAUAUUUGAAUGUGAUUACUCCUUCAGCAGAUAUUUCUUUAGCACCUGCACAUGCAAGAUGUGGUCCUAGGCAUUGUGAGAGAUCCAGAGGUAAUUAAGAGGCGUAGUCUGUUUACAAAGAACUGGAACAGAGAAAGAGCCAUGGGUUUAUUGAAAAGAGUGGUUUUGCUUGUGAUCAGGAAAGCUUCUUGGCAGCAAUAACAUUUAAAUUAGAUUAGGGAUGGGGCAGUCUGGAUGGAACGCAUAAUCAAAACCUAGGGAUGAGGAAGUACAGUGCAGGUUAGAGAGGUAGCAAGAGGCCCAGCUUGACUGUUCCACAGAUUCUUCUCAAGGAUUUUAAAAAUGUUCAUUGCUGUAUUCUCAGCACCUGGAGGAGUGUUGGCACAUAAUAGGGGCUCAGUAAAUAUACGUUGAAUGAAUGAGCAAAUGGUCACAUUUGGGAAAUACUGAAAUUUUUCUUGCAGAGUCAUAAAGUGCUGUAGGAUACUGAACACUUUGAUAAACCCUUUGGAGGAAAAAAAAAAGUUCCUGACUCAGACUUCUUUGAUUAUAGAAUCUUGCCUAUUAAGAGCUCCUUUGAAAUCCUUGAGAAGUUACGCUGGGGUCUCUGUGGUAGAGGCGACGCAAGGCCGGAAAGUGUUUUCUUCAAGCUAAACACACCCAUUUUCUUCAGUCUUUCUCCCCUUGACCUUCGGCUUCUAAACUCCUCACUCGUCUGGUCUCUCUCCCUGCAAGCAUUCGAGCUCGUAUGUGUUCUUAAAAUGUGGUCCUCAAAACAGAACACAAUCCUCCAGUUGUGAGCUCAUCAGGGAAGGGGAAUGGGACUGCUCCCGUCCUUGAUCUGGAUACUCUUCUUCUAAUGAAGCCUAAGAUUGUAUUUUCUUUUUAGCAGCUGAGUCACUGCCUUGGCUCAUAUUCAGUUCUCAUAUUAAUUUACAAGAAGUUCUUUGAGUAGAUUCAGAGAGAUUUCCUAUUAGUAGAGCUAACAAAUGAAUGUCUGUUUUUUUCUGAUUGAGUCUAGGCUGUUUUCUCAGAAGUACUCGUCAUUCUUAAGCUUUCUGAAGUCUG
This 6357-nucleotide long non-coding RNA is filed under the name Sus scrofa (pig). Its description in RNAcentral is "lncRNA (ENSSSCG00015070254.1)". The record is from RNAcentral. Lineage: Eukaryota; Metazoa; Chordata; Mammalia; Artiodactyla; Suidae.